UUUUGCCCUCUUUUAGGAUAAAA
Molecule: small nuclear RNA, 23 nt
Filed under: Arabidopsis thaliana (thale cress)
Lineage: Eukaryota; Viridiplantae; Streptophyta; Magnoliopsida; Brassicales; Brassicaceae
Description: snRNA_02203
Source: RNAcentral